GUGAAUCAUCAAAUUUUUGAACGCAAAUUGCACUCUCUGGUAUUCCGGAGAGUAUGCCUGUUUGAGGGUCAGUUUUAAUAAAAAUCGGUGUGGUUGUUGCCUUUCUUGGUGUCGCAUUGGAUUUGGGUUGUCUUGCCUUCGGUUAAGUGAACUAUAAUUUUGCAUGAUUUUUUUCGAUGGUAUUUAAAUGAUUUUACGUACGUUUGCGAUAUCGAAUACUAGGUGCGUUAAUUCUAAUCAUUAGAGCUUAUAAUUUUUCAUCAAAAU
This 267-nucleotide unclassified non-coding RNA is filed under the name Glomus sp. Its description in RNAcentral is "partial contains 5.8S ribosomal RNA and internal transcribed spacer 2". The stretch from base 1 to 71 matches the Rfam family "5.8S ribosomal RNA", at positions 84 to 154 of the family's 154-position model. Lineage: Eukaryota; Fungi; Glomeromycota; Glomeromycetes; Glomerales; Glomeraceae. The record is from RNAcentral.